Ictalurus punctatus (channel catfish) is the source of this 323-nucleotide long non-coding RNA. Lineage: Eukaryota; Metazoa; Chordata; Actinopteri; Siluriformes; Ictaluridae. The record is from Ensembl.
UACAAAUACAAAUACCGUUCUAGUCAUUGUACACGAAUAAGUUGCAGAAAUGGUUUCUCAUGAUUACUCAAGAAAAUGGUUUCUCAUGAUCUUUAAUUGCACUCGUUCGUCUGUGUGGGCGUGGCGGUGGAUGCGCGGUGGGUGUGGCAGUGGACGCGCGGUGGGUGUGGUGGACGUACAGUGGGCGUGGUGGGUGGGCAUGGUGGGCGUGGUGGACGUGCAGUGGGUGUGGUGGUGGAUGCGCAGUGGGCGUGGUGGAUGUGCAGUGGGUGUGGUGGUGGAUGCGCAGUGGGCGUGGUGGACGUGCAGUGGGUGUGGUGGUG